ACCGAAGCUGCGGCAGCGACACUAUGUGUUGUUGGGUAGGGGAGCGUUCUGUAAGCCUGCGAAGGUGUGCUGUGAGGCAUGCUGGAGGUAUCAGAAGUGCGAAUGCUGACAUAAGUAACGAUAAAGCGGGUGAAAAGCCCGCUCGCCGGAAGACCAAGGGUUCCUGUCCAACGUUAAUCGGGGCAGGGUGAGUCGACCCCUAAGGCGAGGCCGAAAGGCGUAGUCGAUGGGAAACAGGUUAAUAUUCCUGUACUUGGUGUUACUGCGAAGGGGGGACGGAGAAGGCUAUGUUAGCCGGGCGACGGUUGUCCCGGUUUAAGCAUGUAGGCUGAUUGUCCAGGCAAAUCCGGAUAAUCAAGGCUGAGGUGUGAUGACGAGGCACUACGGUGCUGAAGUAACAAAUGCCCUGCUUCCAGGAAAAGCCUCUAAGCAUCAGGUAACAUCAAAUCGUACCCCAAACCGACACAGGUGGUCAGGUAGAGAAUACCAAGGCGCUUGAGAGAACUCGGGUGAAGGAACUAGGCAAAAUGGUGCCGUAACUUCGGGAGAAGGCACGCUGGUGUGUAGGUGAAGUCCCUGCGGAUGGAGCUGAGACCAGUCGAAGAUACCAGCUGGCUGCAACUGUUUAUUAAAAACACAGCACUGUGCAAACACGAAAGUGGACGUAUACGGUGUGACGCCUGCCCG
RNAcentral lists this ribosomal RNA (687 nucleotides) under Klebsiella pneumoniae. RNAcentral's name for it is "bacterial LSU rRNA". It matches the Rfam family "Bacterial large subunit ribosomal RNA", at positions 1193 to 1865 of the family's 2925-position model. The record is from RNAcentral. Lineage: Bacteria; Pseudomonadati; Pseudomonadota; Gammaproteobacteria; Enterobacterales; Enterobacteriaceae.